UCCCUGAUGGUCCAGUGGCUGAGACUCCACACUCCCAAUGCAGGGGGCCCAGGUUCGAUCCCUGGUUGGGGAA
Non-coding RNA from Bos taurus (domestic cattle), 73 nucleotides. The record is from Rfam. Lineage: Eukaryota; Metazoa; Chordata; Mammalia; Artiodactyla; Bovidae.